Molecule: ribosomal RNA, 649 nt
Filed under: Klebsiella pneumoniae
Lineage: Bacteria; Pseudomonadati; Pseudomonadota; Gammaproteobacteria; Enterobacterales; Enterobacteriaceae
Description: bacterial SSU rRNA
Rfam family: Bacterial small subunit ribosomal RNA
Source: RNAcentral
UAGCACAGAGAGCUUGCUCUCGGGUGACGAGCGGCGGACGGGUGAGUAAUGUCUGGGAAACUGCCUGAUGGAGGGGGAUAACUACUGGAAACGGUAGCUAAUACCGCAUAACGUCGCAAGACCAAAGUGGGGGACCUUCGGGCCUCAUGCCAUCAGAUGUGCCCAGAUGGGAUUAGCUAGUAGGUGGGGUAACGGCUCACCUAGGCGACGAUCCCUAGCUGGUCUGAGAGGAUGACCAGCCACACUGGAACUGAGACACGGUCCAGACUCCUACGGGAGGCAGCAGUGGGGAAUAUUGCACAAUGGGCGCAAGCCUGAUGCAGCCAUGCCGCGUGUGUGAAGAAGGCCUUCGGGUUGUAAAGCACUUUCAGCGGGGAGGAAGGCGGUGAGGUUAAUAACCUUGUCGAUUGACGUUACCCGCAGAAGAAGCACCGGCUAACUCCGUGCCAGCAGCCGCGGUAAUACGGAGGGUGCAAGCGUUAAUCGGAAUUACUGGGCGUAAAGCGCACGCAGGCGGUCUGUCAAGUCGGAUGUGAAAUCCCCGGGCUCAACCUGGGAACUGCAUUCGAAACUGGCAGGCUAGAGUCUUGUAGAGGGGGGUAGAAUUCCAGGUGUAGCGGUGAAAUGCGUAGAGAUCUGGAGGAAUACC